RNAcentral lists this ribosomal RNA (379 nucleotides) under uncultured cyanobacterium. RNAcentral describes it as "bacterial SSU rRNA". It matches the Rfam family "Bacterial small subunit ribosomal RNA", at positions 376 to 770 of the family's 1533-position model. The record is from RNAcentral. Lineage: Bacteria; Bacillati; Cyanobacteriota.
CGAAAGCCUGACGGAGCAACGCCGCGUGAGGGAUGAAGGCCUCUGGGCUGUAAACCUCUUUUAUCAAGGAAGAAGAUCUGACGGUACUUGAUGAAUAAGCUACGGCUAAUUCCGUGCCAGCAGCCGCGGUAAUACGGGAGUGGCAAGCGUUAUCCGGAAUUAUUGGGCGUAAAGCGUCCGCAGGCGGCCCAGAAAGUCUGCUGUUAAAACGUGGAGCUUAACUCCAUCAUGGCAGUGGAAACUGUUGGGCUUGAGUGUGGUAGGGGCAGAGGGAAUUCCCGGUGUAGCGGUGAAAUGCGUAGAUAUCGGGAAGAACACCAGUGGCGAAGGCGCUCUGCUGGGCCAUAACUGACGCUCAUGGACGAAAGCCAGGGGAGCG